GACGAACGCUGGCGGCGUGCUUAACACAUGCAAGUCGAACGCUGAAGCUUGGUGCUUGCACUGGGUGGAUGAGUGGCGAACGGGUGAGUAAUACGUGAGUAACCUGCCCUUGACUCUGGGAUAAGCCUGGGAAACUGGGUCUAAUACUGGAUACGACAUGUCACCGCAUGGUGGUGUGUGGAAAGGGUUUUACUGGUUUUGGAUGGGCUCACGGCCUAUCAGCUUGUUGGUGGGGUAAUGGCUCACCAAGGCGACGACGGGUAGCCGGCCUGAGAGGGUGAACGGCCACACUGGGACUGAGACACGGCCCAGACUCCUACGGGAGGCAGCAGUGGGGAGUAUUGCACAAUGGGCGGAAGCCUGAUGCAGCGACGCCGCGUGAGGGAUGACGGCCUUCGGGUUGUAAACCUCUUUCAGCACGGAAGAAGCGAAAGUGACGGUACGUGCAGAAGAAGCGCCGGCUAACUACGUG
RNAcentral lists this ribosomal RNA (472 nucleotides) under uncultured bacterium. RNAcentral describes it as "partial 16S ribosomal RNA". It matches the Rfam family "Bacterial small subunit ribosomal RNA", at positions 28 to 507 of the family's 1533-position model. The record is from RNAcentral.